UUGUCAACUUAAUUUCAUUGAUUUGAAAAGAAGUACAGUGAUCGAAGCCCAAUAACAUAAAAUAAAAGCCCAACAUAAACCUAAUCAAGAUUUAAAAUUAAAGAAGAGUGUGGGAUUUUUGUGAAACGACACGUGUGCAUAAUUGAGAAUUGGCUAGUGACUCAUCACCUUCUUCUCCACCGAGCUGAGGCUGCCGAUCGAAAUCACCAUCAUCGCCGAUCAAAUUCUUCUUUAUCCUCUAGUGAUUUCAGCAGUAACUACUAGUCUCUCCGAUCACCAACUCGAACACCUUUUGCUAACAAUCACUGGAAUUAAUUGAAUGGAAUUUGCUUUGUUUACUGGAAAUCUUCCUCAGCUGAUUGAAAUCAAAGCACUCUUCAGAGAACUAUCAAAACACGACAAGGACUCCAAAUCUACAUACUCCGUUUCAAUCCACUGCAACAAC
This 445-nucleotide long non-coding RNA is filed under the name Capsella grandiflora. RNAcentral describes it as "long non-coding RNA (CGRA_LNC000738)". Lineage: Eukaryota; Viridiplantae; Streptophyta; Magnoliopsida; Brassicales; Brassicaceae. The record is from RNAcentral.